CCUACGGGAGGCAGCAGUGGGGAAUAUUGGACAAUGGGGGGAACCCUGAUCCAGCGACGCCGCGUGAGUGAAGAAGUAUUUCGGUAUGUAAAGCUCUAUCAGCAGGGAAGAAAGAAAUGACUGUACCUGACUAAGAAGCCCCGGCUAACUACGUGCCAGCAGCCGCGGUAAUACGUAGGGGGCAAGCGUUAUCCGGAUUUACUUGGUGGAAAGGGAGCUUAGGCGGAGUUGCAAGUCUGAAGUGAAAGGCGGGGGACCAACCCCCGGACUGCUGUGGAAACUGUAUGGCUGGAGUGCAGGAGAGGUAAGUGGAAUUCGUAGUGUAGCGGUGAAAUGCGUAGAUAUUAGGAGGAACACCAGUGGCGAAGGCGGCUUACUGGACUGUAACUGACGUUGAGGCUCGAAAGCGUGGGGAGCAAACAGGAUUAGAUACCCUAGUAGUC
RNAcentral lists this ribosomal RNA (443 nucleotides) under uncultured bacterium. Its description in RNAcentral is "partial 16S ribosomal RNA". It matches the Rfam family "Bacterial small subunit ribosomal RNA", at positions 338 to 795 of the family's 1533-position model. The record is from RNAcentral.